UGGGGAAUAUUGCACAAUGGGCGCAAGCCUGAUGCAGCCAUGCCGCGUGUAUGAAGAAGGCCUUCGGGUUGUAAAGUACUUUCAGCGGGGAGGAAGGGAGUAAAGUUAAUACCUUUGCUCAUUGACGUUACCCGCAGAAGAAGCACCGGCUAACUCCGUGCCAGCAGCCGCGGUCAUACGGAGGGUGCAAGCGUUAAUCGGAAUUACUGGGCGUAAAGCGCACGCAGGCGGUUUGUUAAGUCAGAUGUGAAAUCCCCGGGCUCAACCUGGGAACUGCAUCUGAUACUGGCAAGCUUGAGUCUCGUAGAGGGGGGUAGAAUUCCAGGUGUAGCGGUGAAAUGCGUAGAGAUCUGGAGGAAUACCGGUGGCGAAGGCGGCCCCCUGGACGAAGACUGACGCUCAGGUGCGAAAGCGUGGGGAGCAAACAGG
RNAcentral lists this ribosomal RNA (429 nucleotides) under Chloroflexota bacterium. RNAcentral describes it as "Chloroflexi bacterium partial 16S ribosomal RNA". It matches the Rfam family "Bacterial small subunit ribosomal RNA", at positions 355 to 776 of the family's 1533-position model. Lineage: Bacteria; Bacillati; Chloroflexota. The record is from RNAcentral.